NNNNNNNNNNNNNUUUGAGGAAGCCUUCCCCAAAACCAGAGAAUACUGAGUGGCAGGGAGUGUGGAGAGGCUUGGGAGAGACUGUAGAGAGACGGACAUCUUCGGUGUCAUGGAACUUCACUCCUGAACACCUGAAAGACCCUGAGAGCUUAAAUGCAUAUUUGAAACAGGAAUGUUGCGGCUCAUGCAGAUCUGAGGAGCCACAAAUGAUUUGGUGCCUAGCUAAUGCUUAUCGGGCCUUAUUCAAUAGUAUCCCAGAGAGGGAGAGAGUUUGUGAAAUUGAGAGAGUGUCUGAGAGCUGAAAGGGAGAGUUUGCAGGAGAGACUCCGAGCAGAGAGGGAGAAUCUCCAAGCUGAGAGAGAGAGUCUCCAAGCAGAAAGGGAGAGUUUGCAGGUGAGACUUCGAGCAGAGAGGGAGAAUCUCCAGGCUGAGAAAGAAAGUCUCCAAGCCGAAAGGGAAAAUCUUCAAACUGAGAGAAGGGAUCUCCAAUCUCAACAAGAUGCCCUCCAAAUCGAGAGAGACUCCCUGCAAUCCAAACUCGUCACUCUCCAGUCUGAAUGGGACACCGUCCAAACUGAGAGAAACACCCUUCAAUCUGAACUGAAUGCUCUCAUGAUUGAAAAAGACAGACUCCAAGCCGAACUGGAGGGUGAGAGCAUUGGAACUGACCAACCUGAUCAACCACAGGAGGCACCACAAUUGAUAUCAGUUGCCCCUGUGAGAGGACGGAAAAUGAAACGAAUCUCAACUCAGUUAGAAGAGAAGAAAGAGGAGCAAAGAGGUCCAGAGGAGUGGCUCCGAGAUCCAGGGGAAGCGCCCCCGAGUCCAGGGGAGGGACCCUCAGUCAGACCACGGUCACCAAUGCCUAUAAGGGCAUCAAGGAGUCCUGAAAGAGUAAGAGGUGAGCAAGAUAUUGUUACCAUUGUUGAUCGAUCUCUGAAAAUGAAUGAAAUUCGAAGUCUGAGAAAAGACUUUUCACGUCACCCAAAUGAACCUAUUGCCACUUGGUUACUUCGUUGCUGGGACAAUGGGGCCAACAGUGUGUGGCUAGAUAGUAGAGAAGCUCGCCAGCUGGGUGGCAUUGCUAGGGACUCAGCCAUUGACAGAGGCAUUAGUACAUGCCAGAACCAGGCCUUCACCCUCUGGAAGAGGAUGUUGUUAGCUGUAAAAGAAAGAUACCCCUUCAAAGACGAUCUGAUGCCUGAGAAAAAGAAAUGGACUGAUAUAGAAAAAGGCAUCCGUUAUUUGAGAGCAUAUGCUGUGGUGGAAAUGCUACAUAGCCCUGAUUUCAUUCCUGAUGAGCCGGAUCAAGAGCAUGAUCCUGAGAGAGUCAGGUGUACACCAAAUAUGUGGCGUACAUUCACAAAGACUGCACCAGAAAGGUACGCCAGUACAUUUGCAGCAAUGUAUGGCAGAGGGGAAAGAAGACCCCUUAUAAACGAACUGAUUAAUAAACUUCAAGACUUUGAGUUACAUUUAAGCCCGCUGCGAGCUUGUGUUUCAGCCAUCGCAAAAGUAGCUGAGAAGCUGAACAGAAUGGAAAACAAACAAGAAGAUAUGAAGAAGUGGCAUAAACAACCUACUCCUGCACUUCAAGCACGGGUAAA
Long non-coding RNA from Phasianus colchicus (ring-necked pheasant), 1607 nucleotides. NCBI's taxonomy places the organism in Eukaryota, Metazoa, Chordata, Aves, Galliformes, Phasianidae. The record is from Ensembl.